AAAAGGUGUUAGUUCAUCUAGACAGCAGGACGGUGGCCAUGGAAGUCGGAAUCCGCUAAGGAGUGUGUAACAACUCACCUGCCGAAUGAACUAGCCCUGAAAAUGGAUGGCGCUCAAGCGUGCUACCCAUACCUCGCCGCCCGGGUAGAAACGAUGCCCGGGCGAGUAGGCAGGCGUGGAGGCCCGUGACGAAGGCUCGGGGU
Molecule: ribosomal RNA, 203 nt
Filed under: Capnodiales sp. CCFEE 5322
Lineage: Eukaryota; Fungi; Ascomycota; Dothideomycetes; Capnodiales
Description: partial large subunit ribosomal RNA
Rfam family: Eukaryotic large subunit ribosomal RNA
Source: RNAcentral